This 290-nucleotide unclassified non-coding RNA is filed under the name uncultured Hemimycena. Its description in RNAcentral is "partial contains 5.8S ribosomal RNA, internal transcribed spacer 2, and large subunit ribosomal RNA". The stretch from base 1 to 52 matches the Rfam family "5.8S ribosomal RNA", at positions 103 to 154 of the family's 154-position model. The record is from RNAcentral. Lineage: Eukaryota; Fungi; Basidiomycota; Agaricomycetes; Agaricales; Tricholomataceae.
AACGCACCUUGCACUCUUUGGUAUUCCGAAGAGUAUGCCUGUUUGAGUGUCAUUAAAUUCUCAAACCUCACAAGUUUUGCGACUUCGUUGAGGCUUUGGAUGUGGGGGUUGCUGGCUUUUCACGAGUCAGCUCUCCUUAAAUGCAUUAGUGGUUACUGUUCGCUACAUCCUGGUGUGAUAAUAUCUACGCCUAGUAGCGAUGUUAAGUGUAGCUGCUUCAAACCGUCCAAGUAUUUGGACAAUUUGAACCAUUUGACCUCAAAUCAGGUAGGACUACCCGCUGAACUUAA